UCAGCUGACUCCUUGCAGAGUCAUAUGAUUAGGUCCAUGCACGCUUAACUGCAAGACAAGAUAUCUCUGACUUAAUAAACUGCCUUUUUGCUACACUUGAUUCCACUCUGUCCAGCGUCGUUGAUUUGGUCUCCCUCUCCAGUAUUUGAACACCAACAAGACCUGGCCCCGGAAUGGAGGUUAAAAACAGGCCGGUAUACACUACAGAUGGCAGAUACGGUGACAGAUUCAAACGAACACUGCUUUUCCCAGUCGGCAACAGCACAGUGGAGAAACAGGGGCAUGAUAACCAGAGCAGGAUUUUAUGCAUUACAGAUGAACUACAGGUGAAGUCACUCAAUCCAGUCCCAGAGGCUUGUUGGGGGGACCAUACCAAGGACUUCUGGUGACAGCUAGCUGAAAGAGCUAGCCGGAUUAAUAUCGCACGGCGGGAGGGUAAGACACAUUGAAACUGUCAAACAAUAACAGUGUUCGAGAGGAGAACUGGAAUUAACAGAAUUCCGGGGGCCAUCUCUCGAAUGAAGUAUUCCUGCCUGUCCUAUCACCCCUGUGUUUGUUCAUAGAAGUGAAGAUGUGUCUGGCUCUUGCUAAGUGAUGUGUUCUCGGGGAGAGGGUGGGGCUUCACAUGGAAGCUGUUCGUCUGAGCUGUCUUAUCGUGGGUGACAUAUUCCUGAUACAGCACGUCCUACUUGAGUAUGCGGAGAGUGGUAAUUUGACCCAUGGUUUAGACGAUGAGGAUUUUGUUCCAAAAUAAGCACAAGAGAUCCGUAGUUCUGGGUAGACAGGAAGUUAGAGUAGAGGUUGGGAAGGAUCUCUCAAUGGAGUUUUAUGUAGACCAAAAUGGAGUCUAACUACAUGGCAGUCUAGGACUCUGAGCCAUUAUGGCAUAUAUCGGUGCAGGUUCCCAUAUUGAUCGUGGACACAGGUCAUAGCUCCUUUGGAGAGAGAGGGCUAUAUGAAUCCACUCACCCAGUAUGGAAGGAGGUGGAGUAUAGUGAAGGUGAGAGUUUUUGAUUGUAAUCCGGAGAGAGGGAUGCAUUGCAUAAAGAUACGCCUAACCAUUUAAACAGUAAUGAAGGAGAAUCUAGGGUUGUGGUAUGAUGGAUAUGACCAGUUCUUGGUCGACAACCUAGUACGGUUCUGGGUAGAGGAGUUUAGGCCGGUAUGGUAAAGCUGUUCACGAAAGCAGGAAUGCCAGAUAAUGACAGUUGUAUUGAUUUGCAUCCCCAGGUUCCUCCCUUCACAGUAACCGGAGGAGAUUAUUACCGUUUGGCCCGGAACAGUACUCUUGGGAAAUGAUGUCAGGGCGAGAUUGGACAGAUUACCGACAGAUUGGACAGGAUUAUGCUCCAUUAUAAUGCCUUUCACACUCAUUCAACACCAAGACAUGAAGUAUAGACAAAUGGGAGAAAAGAGAUUUUCCGUCCGGGUCUCUUAUUGACUAAAUAUACUUUGAUAACAUUGGGGUUCCAAGGGGGGUGCCAUAUGAGUCAAAGCAAGAAAUCAGAUCCUAGCAGGAUUAGAGUUAAGCAUU
Molecule: long non-coding RNA, 1534 nt
Organism: Oncorhynchus masou masou (cherry salmon)
Lineage: Eukaryota; Metazoa; Chordata; Actinopteri; Salmoniformes; Salmonidae
Exons: 3
Source: RefSeq, a predicted model, not a curated record